Neoarius graeffei (lesser salmon catfish) is the source of this 333-nucleotide non-coding RNA. The record is from the annotation of a RefSeq genome assembly. NCBI's taxonomy places the organism in Eukaryota, Metazoa, Chordata, Actinopteri, Siluriformes, Ariidae.
AUGUUUAUAGCCAUAUAUGCUGUUCUCUUCUCUUUGGUCUCAGAAGCUGUUCUGGGAGUGACACUGGAGCAAAAGGAUCUCUCCAUGACAAAACAGGCAGGUAAAAGUGCGUAUAUCAGCUGUAAAGUGACCGGAUUAUCCACAGACUAUGUUCACUGGUACCAAAAGAAAGAUGGCGAAGCUUUCACAAGGAUCCUGUAUGUCAAAAAAGGUAGCCCACAUGUUCCUGAUAAUAACCAUCCUGAAGCCAAGGACUUUAGUGUGAAGAUACAGAAUGAUGAUUAUGAACUGAAGAUAGCAAAAGAGACGCCAUCUUCAUGGGACAGUCCGUAA